AUUACCUCAACUGGUGGGCGUCCUUACCGGUGCCCGCCUGAUUGAAGUUACCCAUGCCUUUUGCGUACAAUUUGUUCUCCUCAAAAGGACGUUUAGUCCUGAGAGGAUACCAAUUCACCCAUGUAUUUGCAGUCAACGUCUGAAAACAAUAAUAAUUACAACUUUUAACAACGGAUCUCUUGGUUCU
RNAcentral lists this unclassified non-coding RNA (187 nucleotides) under rhizosphere metagenome. Its description in RNAcentral is "partial ribosomal RNA internal transcribed spacer region". The record is from RNAcentral.